Molecule: ribosomal RNA, 254 nt
Filed under: uncultured bacterium
Lineage: Bacteria
Description: partial 16S ribosomal RNA
Rfam family: Bacterial small subunit ribosomal RNA
Source: RNAcentral
UACGGAGGGUGCUAGCGUUGUUCGGAAUCACUGGGCGUAAAGGGCGCGUAGGCGGCCAGGCAAGUCGGCUUUGUGAAAGCCCGGGGCUCAACCCCGGAGGUGCGGCCGGGACUGCUUGGCUGGAGGCCGGAAGAGGAGGGUGGAAUACCCAGUGUAGAGGUGAAAUUCGUAGAUAUUGGGGGAACACCGGUGGCGAAAGCGGCUCUCUGGUCCGGACCUGACGCUGAGGCGCGAAAGCGUGGGGAGCAAACAGG